GUGUAGCUCAGUUGGUAGAGUAGCGGACUAAUAAUCCACAGGUCGCCGGUUCGAGUCCGGUCAC
This 64-nucleotide transfer RNA is filed under the name Enterococcus pallens. It matches the Rfam family "tRNA", at positions 5 to 66 of the family's 71-position model. From Rfam's summary of the family: Transfer RNA (tRNA) molecules are approximately 80 nucleotides in length. Their secondary structure includes four short double-helical elements and three loops (D, anti-codon, and T loops). Further hydrogen bonds mediate the characteristic L-shaped molecular structure. tRNAs have two regions of fundamental functional importance: the anti-codon, which is responsible for specific mRNA codon recognition, and the 3' end, to which the tRNAs corresponding amino acid is attached (by aminoacyl-tRNA synthetases). tRNAs cope with the degeneracy of the genetic code in two manners: having more than one tRNA (with a specific anti-codon) for a particular amino acid; and 'wobble' base-pairing, i.e. permitting non-standard base-pairing at the 3rd anti-codon position. Lineage: Bacteria; Bacillati; Bacillota; Bacilli; Lactobacillales; Enterococcaceae. The record is from RNAcentral.